Long non-coding RNA from Pezoporus occidentalis (night parrot), 580 nucleotides. RefSeq lists it as uncharacterized. The transcript has 2 exons. The record is from RefSeq and is a predicted model, not a curated record. NCBI's taxonomy places the organism in Eukaryota, Metazoa, Chordata, Aves, Psittaciformes, Psittacidae.
UCCCAAGAUGGCGCUGGCGAGCGUGAUGCGGGCGGAGGCUCCGCUCCCGUCCCCAUCCCUCCUCCCGGGGCUCGCAGCGUCUCGGGACCCGGCCGGGCACCUCCCCCGGCAUCGCCGCCCCCUCCUCCGGGAGCUGCCGCCGCUGCUGCCCGGGCCCGGCAUCCAGCUCCUGCACGGCACCACCCCCCUGGCUUUCGACGUGUCCAGGAUGGGCUGCAGUUAAACUAACUGGUGAGCAGAAGGACAGGAUGAUUGCUGUGUCUGUGGUGUUAAGUAACCAAUUAAGCCGGUAUAAAUGGCUACUGUGUGUGCUUCCAGGCCUGCUAGAAGUGCUGAAGAUUGUCGGAAGAAGUAAAGGACCCUCAGCACCCCCCACCACGUUUUUGUAUGCCUGUGGGGAAAUGUUCUAGAAGAAUGAUGUAAGUAUCCUCAUGAAUAUGCAUGUCUGUACGUAAUGAAUAUGUAUGCUUAGUGACUAUAUAAGGAUGGCUUGUUUAGCAAUUCGGAGACACAGGUUAGGAGGAGCUGUCUCCCGUGUCUCCUGGCACUGCAAUAAAGAAUAGCUGCUUGAAACUUGAAA